GACGAACGCUGGCGGCGUGCCUAAUACAUGCAAGUUGAGCGCUAAAGGUUUGUACUUGUGCCAACUGGGUGAGCAGCGAACGGGAGAGUAACGCGUGUGGCAUCUGCCUGUGUUCGGGGUACAAUAUGUGGAAAGGAGUUCUAAUACCGCAUAAAAACUUGAAACACGGUGUGGAAUGGUGAGAUUUGGCAUUUCGUCAUGCAAAGAUGAUCUCGCGUUGUAUUAGCUAGGUGGUGAGGUACAGGCUCACCAAGGCGAUGAUACAUAGCAGAAGUGAGAGGGCGAUCGGCCGCCCUGGGACUGAGACCCGCCCCAUACGCCUACGGGAGGCAGCAGUAGGGAAUCUUCGGCAAUGGACGAAAGUCUGACCGCGAAACGCCGCGUGAGUGAAGAAGGUCUUCGGAUCGUAAAACUCUGCCGGUAGAGAAGAACGUUGGUGCGCGUGGAAAGCUCAUCAAGUGACGGUAACUAGCAAGAAAGCGACGGCUAACUACGUG
This 497-nucleotide ribosomal RNA is filed under the name uncultured bacterium. RNAcentral's name for it is "partial 16S ribosomal RNA". It matches the Rfam family "Bacterial small subunit ribosomal RNA", at positions 28 to 507 of the family's 1533-position model. The record is from RNAcentral.